Molecule: microRNA precursor, 189 nt
Filed under: Oryza sativa Indica Group (long-grained rice)
Lineage: Eukaryota; Viridiplantae; Streptophyta; Magnoliopsida; Poales; Poaceae
Description: MIR812 microRNA precursor family
Rfam family: MIR812 microRNA precursor family
Source: Rfam by way of RNAcentral
AUUAAGAUCGCAACUGACUCAACGUUUAACCGUCCAUCUUAUUUAAAAAAAUAAUUAGUAGUUUUAUUGUUAUAUAAGAUGAUAAAACAUAAAUAGUAAUUUAUAUGUGACUAAUUUAUUUUUUUUAUAAAAUUUUCAAAUAAGAUAAGUGAUUAAAUGUUGGGCACGAAAAUCCACCACACGCUUAAA